Molecule: long non-coding RNA, 1560 nt
Organism: Tupaia belangeri chinensis (Chinese tree shrew)
Lineage: Eukaryota; Metazoa; Chordata; Mammalia; Scandentia; Tupaiidae
Exons: 3
Source: RefSeq, a predicted model, not a curated record
CAUGUGGAGAUCCAGCUCCUUUAACCUCCACACCACCUGCUGGCCCCUCAUUAUUGAAUCUUAAUGGGUAAAAGAUUAUUGGGGAAGUUAACCACACUGACAGCACCUACCUAUAAUAAAUGUCUGAAUUUUUUUUUUCUCCAUUGACUCAACUGACCAGUUGCAUUAUUCAGUUGUACCAUUCUUCAGAAGAUGUGUGACAGAAUAUUUAGACAUGCUAAAAUUGAGAUAAAACCACAAAGGUUCUCCAAACUCAGCUUUUUGGUAAUAGAAAUACAUUCAGAAAUCUACCAUCUGGCUCCCAAAGGAUCUUUUCUAGUGAAGAAGAUAAAAAUUGGAAAUGUGAUAAAGAUUCCUUAUAAUUAAAGCCAUAAAGUAGUGCAAGGAAGAGACUUUAUUAAAAGAAUGUAGAAUAUUAUGAACUAUGACAGGCCUAACAAGUUAAUUAAAAGACACUUCUGGGGACAGAAAAAGAGAUGGAAAAACAUUAGUUGCAACCUGAAGGGUUCAGCACUUUACAAGCACAUCCAUACCCCGGAACAUGGAGCUGGAGCCCUUUCUCAGAGACUACAGAAUUUAAAAUGGCACUAUAAAGAAGUAAUUCAUGGGCAAGAAUAUCCAGGAACAGUUUUAAAUGAAGUAAUGGGAGGUGUGGGACUUGCAUAAUUGGAUAUUGGGUGCAUUAUUAUUAUUUUUUAAUUUCCAGAUAGUGCCUGCACUUGCCAAAUGGGGCACUAUUAUACCACAAUCAUUUGUCCUCUGUUUUCCAUCCAUCAGGAUUUGGGGCAUGGACAUAAGGGCACCUAAAGUGUUUUUCAAGUUGCAAGAGCUGAAUUUACACUUCGGUCAACUAUGUGGGAACUGGUUCCCUAUGCAUAAUUAACUCCCCGCACUAGUGGGCCAGCCCUGGAUAUACUAAGUUUCAGAUAAAUCAGUGUGGAAUGCAUGCAAGUACAUAGAGAUGCCUGUUGGUAUCUGAGUGGGAUUUGUUUCAGCCUCCCUUCCCCCCAGCCUGAGAAUAUAAAAUGGCAUAGUAAUUUCAUAUAAUGUACACAUAUCUUUUUGUACACUUUUAAUCAACUAGAUUACUUAUAAUACCUAAUACAAUGUAACUAGUUGUUACACAGCAUUGUUGAGGGGAUAAUGACAAAACUACAUGUUCACUACAGACAUAGCCAUAGAACACAUCAGCAACAAAGUAACAUUUUAGACCCAUGUUGGUUAAAUCCUCCCAUUUGGAAUGAUUUAGAUUGGGCAAGGCUGGGAGGAUGCUAGUUAAUGAAAAGGAGCAUAGAAACAGAUUUUAUUAUAAAAGGUAUUAGAGUAAGGCUUGAUAUCACAUUACUAAGGAAAAGGUAGAACUAUAAAUAGUUCUGGGACAGUUGCUUAAUUAUAGGGGUGGGAGCAGUAUUUUUCCCAUUCUUUACAUGCUUAAAGAAGUAUAGAGUGAUUAGUGAGGUUUGAAGAUACGUAAAGUAAGAAGUAGAAAAUGUAAGUGAAGGGACCAGCAGUUGGCGUAAUGACUGUCGCUAGACUCCUGUGUAGUCGAUGACGGUUCAA